AUUGAACGCUGGCGGAAUGCUUUACACAUGCAAGUCGAACGGCAGCACGGGGGCAGCCCUGGUGGCGAGUGGCGAACGGGUGAGUAAUACAUCGGAACGUGCCCGGUCGUGGGGUAUAACGUAGCGAAAGUUACGCUAAUACCGCAUACGAUCUGAGGAUGAAAGCGGGGGACCUUCGGGCCUCGCGCGAUCGGAGCGGCCGAUGUCGGAUUAGGUAGUUGGUGGGGUAAAGGCCUACCAAGCCGACGAUCGGUAGCUGGUCUGAGAGGACGACCAGCCACACUGGAACUGAGACACGGCCCAGACUCCUACGGGAGGCAGCAGUGGGGAAUUUUGGACAAUGGGCGCAAGCCUGAUCCAGCCAUUCCGCGUGCAGGACGAAGGCCUUCGGGUUGUAAACUGCUUUUGUACGGAACGAAAAGGCUCUGGCUAAUACCUGGGGCUCAUGACGGUACCGGAAGAAUAAGCACCGGCUAACUACGUG
Molecule: ribosomal RNA, 484 nt
Filed under: uncultured bacterium
Lineage: Bacteria
Description: partial 16S ribosomal RNA
Rfam family: Bacterial small subunit ribosomal RNA
Source: RNAcentral